AUUUAAAUAGUAUAAUAAUUAUAUUUGACUUCCAAUCAAAAGAUCUAAUUUUUAGUUUAAAUA
This 63-nucleotide transfer RNA is filed under the name Anaspidinae sp. GENSP01. RNAcentral's name for it is "tRNA-Gly". The record is from RNAcentral. Lineage: Eukaryota; Metazoa; Arthropoda; Insecta; Coleoptera; Scraptiidae.